Molecule: long non-coding RNA, 214 nt
Filed under: Homo sapiens (human)
Lineage: Eukaryota; Metazoa; Chordata; Mammalia; Primates; Hominidae
Description: non-protein coding lnc-SLC12A7-5:13
Source: RNAcentral
GUGCAGCCUAGUGCAUAUGACUGACAGAAACGUGAAGCCACAGUGGACGCCUGGAUGAGACACAGAUCACCUUCCAAAUCUGAGUGUGGCCUUGGGACCAACCAGGCAGCCAGGGAGAAGGCAGAGACCAGAGGGAACCCAGCUCCAGAAGCUCUGGAGCCGCCAGCACUGAGAGAAGCGAUGGAGCUGCAUGCAGGGUGAGUGUAGGACCGGG